UCCCGNGAAUUUAAGCAUAUAAGUAAGUGGUGGAAGAAAAAAUAAACAUGAUUCUUUUAGUAAUGGCGAAUGAACAAAGACAUGGUCAUUUUGAAAAUUGUGGUCUUAGAUCAUGAAUUGUAUUUUCAAAAUGCAUUGCUAACACAACUGCACAUGUUUGUUUAUUGGAAAGAACAUCACAAAGGGUGACAAUCCCAUGUGUCAUGUGUAUGUUUUGUGUACAGCGUGCAUUAUAUGAAUCACAUUCAUUGACAAUUGAAUGCAAAUAGAAUGGUAAAUUUCAUUUAAUCAUAAAUAUGUUGUUGACAACUUAUAGCAAACAAAUACCAUGAGGGAAAUGUGAAAAGGAUUUUGAAAAGAAAAUUAAAAGAGCUUGCAAUUGCUGAACUGAUAAGCAAACAAAACAUACGUGUGUAUGCAAGAUUGUUGUAAUGCUUAGCAUCCUAUGCAAGGCUAUUGCAAUGAUUUUUUGUAUAGUGAUGCUACCUUUUUUUAGAAUUUGGAAUGUCUUUUUUUGAGUGUGAAUGGAAUUUUGUUUGUUAGCAAAGGAAUGCACUUUUAGAUUCAUUGUUUGAUUUGAUUUAAAAAUGUUUGUGACACAUGUCUUUGUUUUAGUUUCAUGCUUCAACCAAGGACAUUGUGUUGAUCCAUAUCAGCA
This 658-nucleotide ribosomal RNA is filed under the name Coolia malayensis. Its description in RNAcentral is "LSU rRNA". It matches the Rfam family "Eukaryotic large subunit ribosomal RNA", at positions 24 to 635 of the family's 3401-position model. The record is from RNAcentral. Lineage: Eukaryota; Dinophyceae; Peridiniales; Ostreopsidaceae.